UCAGUCUAGAUUUUUGUUCCCACACCUGAAGCAAAGCCACAUUUAGCUCAGAACGCCAACUGAAAUACAGCCGACACCCCAGAAAUUGCCGAUACUAAAUCGAAUAUUGUCGACAGCAAAUACCAAACGAAGGAUGAUGUUCAAGAUAGUUUCUGCUCUGUUUUUCAUCAGUUUAGCAGCUUUUACUGAACAAGCAAAACAUAAUCCAACCACUACGAAGAAACUCUCAAAAUGCGAGAUAAAAUUGCAAGAGUGUAACCGAUAUUUGGUGGAAAUACAGAAGUCAGUCACGGAUUUUGGCUGCAAGGUGAUCGGUUUAGCAGAAAAAUGUUUUCAAAAGUACGAAACAGAUUGUGUAUGAACAAGAUAUGUACAGGAUAUGAACAAG
Long non-coding RNA from Physella acuta, 388 nucleotides. RefSeq lists it as uncharacterized. The record is from RefSeq and is a predicted model, not a curated record. Lineage: Eukaryota; Metazoa; Mollusca; Gastropoda; Physidae.